This 46-nucleotide transfer RNA is filed under the name Macaca fascicularis (crab-eating macaque). Its description in RNAcentral is "partial tRNA-Arg". Lineage: Eukaryota; Metazoa; Chordata; Mammalia; Primates; Cercopithecidae. The record is from RNAcentral.
AAUAAAUGAUUUCGACUCAUUAGAUUAUGAUAACCAUACUAACCAA